RNAcentral lists this long non-coding RNA (1021 nucleotides) under Monodelphis domestica (gray short-tailed opossum). Its description in RNAcentral is "lncRNA (ENSMODG00000047784.1)". The record is from RNAcentral. Lineage: Eukaryota; Metazoa; Chordata; Mammalia; Didelphimorphia; Didelphidae.
CCUGAACUGUAAAGAGGGAAUGAUGGUACUUUAUACAUCUUGCCUCACACUGUUGUAAUAAGGGUCCCAAUGAGAUAACAGAUUUUCCCUACAUAAUUAUUUUAGAACAGGGGACAACUUUUGGGGGCAAUCCUAAAAAAAGACUAAAUGAAUUAAUUCUUUCUUGCAGUUUCUCUCUGGCAUCUAUCUGGGGCUCUCAUUAGGGAUAAUACAUUCUCAUCUGAGCUGGGUUUGCCUUUCUGGCGUGAUAACAUUUUGGUGAGCUUUCUCAGGUAUCACAAGUUCAUAACCAUUGCUCAUUCUGUCUACAGCUUGAAAGAGGCCACAUAGGAUAUGCACAUCUGAUCCUCUCUUGCAUCAGAAAGAUAACUCAUGGCUUGCUGAGCUUGUAAAAAUAAACAGGAUUAGAUCCAGCAAGGAUUGGACAGAGAAGAUCUAAAUCUGAAGUUACUGGAGCCAGUGGCCCCAUGAUCACGAGGUCAUCUCUGGGAUCUGUCACUCAGGAGGAAAGCCAAGCUGCAGAGUCCUCAGCCAGUUUGGGUGGUAGCCAAGCCCCCAUGGAGUCUUAUUGGGCAGAAACAGAGAAAAGAAAGAAGAAAAAGAAAUGAAAAUAUCCUGAAAAUCCAACUUGAAAAUUGCCUAGGAAUGACCUGCACAACUUAAAAAACCAUAAAGAAAUCAGACAAAUCAUAAAGAAAAUCCAUGCAGUUUUAAUGGAAAUUGUGUUUGAAUUCAUUGGCUUAACAAAUUAAGAGUGUCAGAGUACUGGUCUUCAAAUCAAAUCAUCUGGGUUCUAGUCCUGGCUCCAGCACUUAGCUAGGUGACCUUGGGUUGUGCCACUUAGAUAAGUGAGCUUCAGCUUUGAGCUUCAGCUCCUCAUCUGAAAAGUUAGGAUGAUGAUAUCGUGUUACCUCUUCCAUAGAGUUGUUUCAAGGAAAACUCUGUAAAAUUUAAAGUAUGAUUACAUCAUUAUUAUUCUACUGUGGUAUAAUUCAGUGUGGUUUAGUAAAUAGGAUGUUAG